Molecule: ribosomal RNA, 253 nt
Filed under: uncultured bacterium
Lineage: Bacteria
Description: partial 16S ribosomal RNA
Rfam family: Bacterial small subunit ribosomal RNA
Source: RNAcentral
UACGAGGGGGGCUAGCGUUGUUCGGAAUCACUGGGCGUAAAGCGCACGUAGGCGGAUCUUUAAGUCAGGGGUGAAAUCCCGAGGCUCAACCUCGGAACUGCCUUUGAUACUGGGGAUCUCGAGUCCGGGAGAGGUGAGUGGAACUGCGAGUGUAGAGGUGAAAUUCGUAGAUAUUCGCAAGAACACCAGUGGCGAAGGCGGCUCACUGGCCCGGAACUGACGCUGAGGUGCGAAAGCGUGGGGAGCAAACAGG